UUUCUUCUGCAAAGUUGUAGAGAAUUGAAUUUCCUAUAAAAAUUCGCGAGAUUCAAAUUUUCUGAUAAAAGGGCUAUUUAUUAUGAAUUAUUGAAGUUCUGAAGUUCCGAAAUAAUUGAUUUUUGGAAGUUUUAUUUAUUUUUAUUAAUAAAAACGUUUUUUAUAUGUUGUGGGCAUCUUUAACAUGUGCAUGGUGGCUGAAUUCAGAUUCAAGAUGUGGGAGUAUGAAUUUUGUUUAUAUAUAAUAUUAUUAUAUUCAUUUUUCUGCUUUGGUGUUCUAAGCAAUUUCCUAUAAAUAGGGUGCUUAGGUUAGAAUUGAAAAUUACACCAGAAACUAAAGAUUUCUCUCACUUUCUCUCUCUAUUAUAUCGAGCGUAUUUUGUGAGUAUUUUAGUACUUUGAGUAUUGCUAUACGGUGCAAGUUCUUUCAGCACUAUAUCUAGUAUUCCAGUCAAAAGUACUAUUCUUUCUGAGGUAAGGGAUGUUAUUUUAUUCGAAAAUGAUAUUAUUUCUUCAAUAUCAUUAUGCCAAAAUAUUGGUUGGAAAUUUUUAUCAAAUUUAGAACUUUUUCAUGUCGGAGUUUCUAUUCAUGAGUUACUAUUCACGA
RNAcentral lists this long non-coding RNA (607 nucleotides) under Panax ginseng (ginseng). Its description in RNAcentral is "long non-coding RNA (PGIN_LNC004500)". Lineage: Eukaryota; Viridiplantae; Streptophyta; Magnoliopsida; Apiales; Araliaceae. The record is from RNAcentral.